RNAcentral lists this ribosomal RNA (462 nucleotides) under uncultured bacterium. Its description in RNAcentral is "SSU rRNA". It matches the Rfam family "Bacterial small subunit ribosomal RNA", at positions 26 to 518 of the family's 1533-position model. The record is from RNAcentral.
AGGACGAACGCUUGCGGCGUGCCUAAGAAAUGCAAGUCGAACGGGGGCUUCGGCCCUAGUGGCGAACGGUCGCGUAACACGUGGGCAACCUGCCCUGAAGCGGGGGACAACAGUCCGAAAGGACUGCUAAUACCGCAUGUGGACGGAGAAGGCAUCUUCUUUGUCUAAAGGAGAAAUCCACUUCAGGAUGGGCCCGCGGCCUAUCAGCUAGUUGGUGGGGUAACGGCCUACCAAGGCUACGACGGGUAGCUGGUCUGAGAGGACGACCAGCCGGAUUGGGACUGAGAUACGGCCCAGACUCCUACGGGGGGCAGCAAUUAGGAAUCUUGGACAAUGGGCGCAAGCCUGAUCCAGCCAUGCCGCGUGAGUGAUGAAGGCCUUCGGGUUGUAAAGCUCUUUAGUCCACGAAUAUAAUGACUGUAGUGGAAGAAUAAGCCCGGCUAACUUCGUGCCAGCAGCCGC